RNAcentral lists this ribosomal RNA (489 nucleotides) under uncultured bacterium. Its description in RNAcentral is "bacterial SSU rRNA". It matches the Rfam family "Bacterial small subunit ribosomal RNA", at positions 30 to 507 of the family's 1533-position model. The record is from RNAcentral.
AUUGAACGCUGGCGGCAUGCCUAACACAUGCAAGUCGAACGGUAACGACGGGAGCUUGCUCCCGGGCGACGAGUGGCGGACGGGUGAGUAAUACUUAGGAAUCUGCCCAGUAGUGGGGGACAACAUUCGGAAACGGAUGCUAAUACCGCAUACGCCCUAAGGGGGAAAGCCGGGGGAUCUUCGGACCUCGCGCUAUUGGAUGAGCCUAAGUCGGAUUAGCUUGUUGGUGAGGUAAAGGCUCACCAAGGCGACGAUCCGUAGCUGGUCUGAGAGGACGAUCAGCCACACUGGGACUGAGACACGGCCCAGACUCCUACGGGAGGCAGCAGUGGGGAAUAUUGGACAAUGGGCGCAAGCCUGAUCCAGCAAUGCCGCGUGUGUGAAGAAGGCCUGCGGGUUGUAAAGCACUUUCAGUAGAGAAGAAAAGCCUAGGGUUAAUACCCCUGAGUCUUGACGUAACCUACAGAAGAAGCACCGGCUAACUCCGUG